CAUUUCCACGGAAUCCCGUGACGCAGCUAACGCAUUAAGUUCCCCGCCUGGGGAGUACGGCCGCAAGGCUAAAACUCAAAGGAAUUGACGGGGACCCGCACAAGCGGCGGAGCAUGCGGAUUAAUUUCGAUGCAACGCGAAGAACCUUACCAAGGCUUGACAUAUACGAGAACGGGCCAGAAAUGGUCAACUCUUUGGACACUCGUAAACAGGUGGUGCAUGGUUGUCGUCAGCUCGUGUCGUGAGAUGUUGGGUUAAGUCCCGCAACGAGCGCAACCCUCGUUCUAUGUUGCCAGCACGUAAUGGUGGGAACUCAUGGGAUACUGCCGGGGUCAACUCGGAGGAAGGUGGGGAUGACGUCAAAUCAUCAUGCCCCUUAUGUCUUGGGCUUCACGCAUGCUACAAUGGCCGGUACAAAGGGCUGCAAUACCGUGAGGUGGAGCGAAUCCCAAAAAGCCGGUCCCAGUUCGGAUUGAGGUCUGCAACUCGACCUCAUGAAGUCGGAGUCGCUAGUAAUCGCAGAUCAGCAACGCUGCGGUGAAUACGUUCCCGGGUCUUGUACACACCGCCCGUCAAGUCAUGAAAGUCGGUAACACCGAAGCCGGAGGCCUAACCCUUGUGGAGGGAGCCGUCGAAGG
This 638-nucleotide ribosomal RNA is filed under the name Microbacterium paraoxydans. RNAcentral's name for it is "bacterial SSU rRNA". It matches the Rfam family "Bacterial small subunit ribosomal RNA", at positions 826 to 1462 of the family's 1533-position model. Lineage: Bacteria; Bacillati; Actinomycetota; Actinomycetes; Micrococcales; Microbacteriaceae. The record is from RNAcentral.